CAAUCAAUUUAUUUCCUAUUUUAUAAAAAUUCUACACCUUUCACAUAAUUUUGGGGAGACAGUGAUUUUCUAUUUUAUGAUUUUUAUCAAGGAGUAAGGAUCGUAGAUUCGUAAGAGCAAGAGAGCUUGAUCCUGAGAACUUGGGAAGCGCUUUCCAGCCGAGGAAUGACCGGAGAAGAGGUGGCAGGUCCCCCCGGACCAAAAGUCUUCCGUCUUCUUUGCUUCGUCGGCGCCGGAGUCAUCUGCGCGGUUACAAUUAACAAGACACGGAAUAUGGAGCGGAGGACGCUGAUGCAGCAGCAGAUGAAGGUAAUGCCAGAUAACUCAUCGGAAGCCCUCGCCGAAGACAGAGCCGGCGAAUAAGGUGACACCGGUGGCAGGCGUGAACAGCGAGCUUUUGAUUGCCUGAGUCGUACCCGGAAGGACACUGUCCUUAAAAACUAUUCCGGCACACCUAGACGACGGGCCGGCAGCUCCCCAGGAUUAAACAAGCACUUCCUGCGAUAGAGCAAGGGAACAGAAUAAUAGAGGCUAAAGCAAGCACAGACGAACAGGAGUCAAAGGGAGGAGACAAUUGUGAAGGCUUGCACUUUGUUCUGUCCUCACCCAUGGGUAUAUAUAGGCCGAUGAAGGAGACACAAACGUUGGGUUAUAAUUACCGGUUAAUGGUUCGGUUAUACACACAUUAAACAAUGAACGUUCAGCGUUUAACACUUUAGUCACAGACGCCUCAAACAGCAAAACGUGCAUGUCCAUUAAUUCAAAAACGUUCAGCGUUCAUUAAUCUGGAGACGUUUGGCAGACAAAACAUUAAUCUUCAAAAUUCGGUUUUCAGAAGAGGUUUAAUGUCCAGAAACUGUCAAAGCCUCAAGUUAAAAGUAAUUAUUUAUUUAAUCAUUUUUGUAAAAAUAACCCGGUAAAAGGAACCCAAUACCUCUUGAACUCGCGCGCAGGGGGGCAAAUCGACUGAUUUCAACUGCGAUUGCCCUGAGUUGGCCUGUCUCUUGUGCGCGAGGUCACUUCUCCUUCAAGCUCAUUUUGCUAGCCCAUUUCAUUCCUUAGUAUAUAUACAUUAGGAGAUUUCUUCCUUUAGUCAAUGUGGGACUUUGACACACACACACUUUUGACACAUAUACAACAGUGGUGAGGUGUGAGAAGUAGAUUCAAGAUUCAAGCCCUCCUAGCUUCUAAUGUGAUGAAAAUAAGUAGUCAUGUAAUAUUUGAUUGUUUACAUAUUCUUGUUAUCAUUAUUCAAUAUUAAUCAUUUUUUUCUACUGUUUUUUCUUCCACGAGCAGAAGAAACAUUUUUUAUUUAUAAAAUCAUUUUUCAUUUCACUUAUUGUAUGUUAAAUGGGGCAAUCAACUUUUGAACUAGCCAUUAGGCUUUUGAUUGGAGUAAGGUG
RNA transcript from Prosopis cineraria, 1403 nucleotides. It is a transcript of the gene named protein DOG1-like 4, with no coding region annotated. The record is from RefSeq and is a predicted model, not a curated record. The transcript has 3 exons. NCBI's taxonomy places the organism in Eukaryota, Viridiplantae, Streptophyta, Magnoliopsida, Fabales, Fabaceae.